CGGUAGUGCCACCUCGUGGACGAAAUCGGCCAUCAUGGAGCAUAACUAGAACAAGUUGAUAGGUACUCGAGCCGUCAACAUCACCUGGCCGUCUUGUUGAAGGCUAUUUCUGGUUUCCCAGUGGCUCGCAGUUUGGUGGAUGGAUGUGCCCCACCCUCGUUGCAACCUCUACCAUCCGGAAUCACCAUCAGUCACGUACUAAAAACAUCUCGUCACUUCCAUCAAACAUUUCACCCCCGCAUCGUUUACAAAAAAACGAAAAUCCCCAGUUCCAAAGUGAAAAAAGCCCUUCCCCUAUUAGAAUAAAAUCCAUUAUUGGCGUUCGAUUUGCCCGUCCCGUAGCAAAUACUGUAAUUAAAUAUCGGGAAAAGUAAUUAGACCAUUCUUAUUUUAAAUCAAAUCAAUCGACACGUGUUAUGACUUAAAUAUUUUCGGGAAGUUGGCCCAGUGAGAAUGAUAGAUCUAGGAGGGAGAAUAUGGUGAUAAAAAAAAAACUUGCAACACCAGUUUGGUAGCUAGUUUUCUACUCAACGAUGCAACAAUAGAUACCAGUUAAUCCCAAAUUCCUAAUUCGGUACGAUAAUCUUAAUUUCUUGCUAAGUCCCUUAACGAAUUUUUUUUAUUCUUAAUUUUCUUUUUAAAAUGCGCUUCCAUUUUAUUAAGUUUACUCCGCUGUUGCCAAUCCCCGCGAAAAGCCUACGUGCAAAAUUAACCAAAUACAGGCAACUCGUCAGUAGCUGAUAUAGAAGGUCAUUAAUGGAGUGGACACUGCGCAUGCUCUUGGAGGUGUAUUCUGGUUUACAACACCUCUACAUAAACAUGCUCGAAAAACACAAAACGAUCAACACGAAAUCUGCGUAACGAAAACUUUUUUACGUAACAUACUCGAAGAUGAUUACGAAAUCAAAACACACGAUUUACGUAAAAAGUGUUAAUGCGUGUAUUAAGUAAGCGACAUAAAUAUACUGUGAUUAUUAAUUUGGUUUCUGAUUUUAUGUCGCUCGUUAGGGUAAUUAUGCCACGGUAUGCAGAGCUUUGAAUGAUAGGAAAGGAAGUUGUUUACCGUCUUUAACACUAGUGUGAUUUCGAACAACGGAUCAUCUUACCAAGUUAAGGAUAGAAACGUCUGUCAUUUGUAGUUUCUCAAUGUCACAGAAAAUGGUUGGUCGGAUUGAAAUCGGUAUUUCGAAUCAACGAAUGAUAAUCCAUGUUAUGGGGCUUAUCGAGGUCUUCUCUUACACCUCUGAAAAUGUUUUCUAAUUAUGAUUUCCGUUGGCGUACUGGAAGGCGUGAAAAUGGAGUUGUGUUAUUCUGUAACUCGCAUUCUUUCCACCUGUGUAAAUAUGUUAAAAGUAAUAUUCGGAAGGAAAGCAGACUUGCAAAAUAUUAGCCACUCCGUGCCUUGAGUUCAGUGGACGUUGUUCACUAAAAAGGAGAGGGAGUGUAUUUUAAAUAACCACCUGACCUCGAAUCUGUUGAGUGAGAGUUACUGAGUAACUUUUGUUUGGAAAUGAGAUGCGUAACGAGUUAUGUGGGUUGAUAGUUUUUGUGUGGGCAGUUUUGUUGAUAAUCGAAUACUACUUUAUUUAAAAUGUUUAUUCUCUUUCUGAUUUAUAAA
This 1618-nucleotide long non-coding RNA is filed under the name Centruroides sculpturatus (bark scorpion). Its description in RNAcentral is "uncharacterized LOC111618940". Lineage: Eukaryota; Metazoa; Arthropoda; Arachnida; Scorpiones; Buthidae. The record is from RNAcentral.